Molecule: ribosomal RNA, 118 nt
Filed under: Macleaya cordata
Lineage: Eukaryota; Viridiplantae; Streptophyta; Magnoliopsida; Ranunculales; Papaveraceae
Source: RNAcentral
AGGUACGAUCAUACCAGCACUAAUGCACUGAUCCCAUCAGAACUCCGUAGUUGCGCGUGCUUGGGCGAGAGUAGUACUAUGAUGGGUGACCUCCUAAGAAGUCCUCAUGUUGCACCCC